Molecule: unclassified non-coding RNA, 377 nt
Filed under: uncultured Caryophanales bacterium
Lineage: Bacteria; Bacillati; Bacillota; Bacilli; Caryophanales
Description: uncultured Bacillales bacterium contains 16S-23S intergenic spacer region
Source: RNAcentral
UCCGGUUUAUCACCGGCAGUCACCUUAGAGUGCCCAACUAAAUGCUGGCAACUAAGAUCAAGGGUUGCGCUCGUUGCGGGACUUAACCCAACAUCUCACGACACGAGCUGACGACAACCAUGCACCACCUGUCACUUCUGUCCCCCGAAGGGGAAAACUCUGUCUCCAGAGCGGGCAGAAGGAUGUCAAGACCUGGUAAGGUUCUUCGCGUUGCUUCGAAUUAAACCACAUGCUCCACCGCUUGUGCGGGCCCCCGUCAAUUCCUUUGAGUUUCAGCCUUGCGGCCGUACUCCCCAGGCGGAGUGCUUAAUGUGUUAGCUGCGGCACCGGCGGUAACCCGCCGACACUUAGUAUCCAUAGUUUAAGGCGUGGACUAC